RNAcentral lists this ribosomal RNA (485 nucleotides) under Bacillus subtilis. RNAcentral describes it as "bacterial SSU rRNA". The record is from RNAcentral. Lineage: Bacteria; Bacillati; Bacillota; Bacilli; Caryophanales; Bacillaceae.
CGAACGCUGGCGGCGUGCCUAAUACAUGCAAGUCGAGCGGACAGAUGGGAGCUUGCUCCCUGAUGUUAGCGGCGGACGGGUGAGUAACACGUGGGUAACCUGCCUGUAAGACUGGGAUAACUCCGGGAAACCGGGGCUAAUACCGGAUGGUUGUUUGAACCGCAUGGUUCAAACAUAAAAGGUGGCUUCGGCUACCACUUACAGAUGGACCCGCGGCGCAUUAGCUAGUUGGUGAGGUAACGGCUCACCAAGGCRACGAUGCGUAGCCGACCUGAGAGGGUGAUCGGCCACACUGGGACUGAGACACGGCCCAGACUCCUACGGGAGGCAGCAGUAGGGAAUCUUCCGCAAUGGACGAAAGUCUGACGGAGCAACGCCGCGUGAGUGAUGAAGGUUUUCGGAUCGUAAAGCUCUGUUGUUAGGGAAGAACAAGUACCGUUCGAAUAGGGCGGUACCUUGACGGUACCUAACCAGAAAGCCACGGC